AUUGAACGCUGGCGGCAUGCUUUACACAUGCAAGUCGAACGGCAGCGCGGGCUUCGGCCUGGCGGCGAGUGGCGAACGGGUGAGUAAUGCAUCGGAACGUGCCCAGUCGUGGGGGAUAGCCCGGCGAAAGCCGGAUUAAUACCGCAUACGACCUGAGGGUGAAAGCGGGGGACCGAAAGGCCUCGCGCUAUUUGAGCGGCCGAUGUCGGAUUAGCUAGUUGGUGGGGUAAAGGCUUACCAAGGCGACGAUCCGUAGCUGGUCUGAGAGGACGACCAGCCACACUGGGACUGAGACACGGCCCAGACUCCUACGGGAGGCAGCAGUGGGGAAUUUUGGACAAUGGGGGCAACCCUGAUCCAGCCAUGCCGCGUGCGGGAAGAAGGCCUUCGGGUUGUAAACCGCUUUUGUUCGGGAAGAAAUCCUCUGGGCUAAUACCCCGGGGGGAUGACGGUACCGGAAGAAUAAGCACCGGCUAACUACGUG
Molecule: ribosomal RNA, 484 nt
Filed under: uncultured bacterium
Lineage: Bacteria
Description: partial 16S ribosomal RNA
Rfam family: Bacterial small subunit ribosomal RNA
Source: RNAcentral